RNAcentral lists this transfer RNA (87 nucleotides) under Maricaulis sp. Its description in RNAcentral is "tRNA-Leu". It matches the Rfam family "tRNA". From Rfam's summary of the family: Transfer RNA (tRNA) molecules are approximately 80 nucleotides in length. Their secondary structure includes four short double-helical elements and three loops (D, anti-codon, and T loops). Further hydrogen bonds mediate the characteristic L-shaped molecular structure. tRNAs have two regions of fundamental functional importance: the anti-codon, which is responsible for specific mRNA codon recognition, and the 3' end, to which the tRNAs corresponding amino acid is attached (by aminoacyl-tRNA synthetases). tRNAs cope with the degeneracy of the genetic code in two manners: having more than one tRNA (with a specific anti-codon) for a particular amino acid; and 'wobble' base-pairing, i.e. permitting non-standard base-pairing at the 3rd anti-codon position. RNAcentral also lists the same sequence under 1 other name. Lineage: Bacteria; Pseudomonadati; Pseudomonadota; Alphaproteobacteria; Maricaulales; Maricaulaceae. The record is from RNAcentral.
GCGGGCGUGGCGGAAUUGGUAGACGCAAGGGACUUAAAAUCCCUCGGCCGUAAGGCCUUGCCGGUUCGAUCCCGGCCGCCCGCACCA